UACGGGGGGAGCAAGCGUUGUUCGGAUUUACUGGGCGUAAAGGGCGCGUAGGCGGUCAGCACGAGUCAGUUGUGAAAUCUCCGGGCUUAACUCGGAAAGGUCAACUGAUACUGUGCGACUAGAGUGCAGAAGGGGCAACUGGAAUUCUCGGUGUAGCGGUGAAAUGCGUAGAUAUCGAGAGGAACACCUGCGGCGAAGGCGGGUUGCUGGGCUGACACUGACGCUGAUGCGCGAAAGCCAGGGGAGCGAACGGG
This 254-nucleotide ribosomal RNA is filed under the name uncultured bacterium. Its description in RNAcentral is "partial 16S ribosomal RNA". It matches the Rfam family "Bacterial small subunit ribosomal RNA", at positions 524 to 776 of the family's 1533-position model. The record is from RNAcentral.